AAAAUGACACAGUAUUGAUGCCACAAAUGACGAAUUUCCCACCCUCACAAAAAAUAAACCAAACCCAAUAAAAUCAAUCCAGCAAGUGAACUUACCUCUCAAAAUCAAUCGGGAGCUCUGAAGUCAGUCAGCUUGAGAGAAUGUAGUGGACAUUAGAGAAGACUCUUUGGUAUUUGAGACUCCAUCUCUACCAAAAUCGAG
RNAcentral lists this long non-coding RNA (201 nucleotides) under Prunus persica (peach). RNAcentral describes it as "long non-coding RNA (PPER_LNC003434)". The record is from RNAcentral. Lineage: Eukaryota; Viridiplantae; Streptophyta; Magnoliopsida; Rosales; Rosaceae.